RNAcentral lists this long non-coding RNA (2109 nucleotides) under Homo sapiens (human). RNAcentral's name for it is "HSALNT0401099". The record is from RNAcentral. Lineage: Eukaryota; Metazoa; Chordata; Mammalia; Primates; Hominidae.
AUGUCUCUUGGCUGCCUCCAUGUCUCACUGUGGUUUUAUAUCCCCUGGCUUUUUGGCAGAAACAAAACUUUUAGAUUUGUCCUCAACUGAAAAUGUUUCAGCUGUGUGUGCAGGCGUCUUCAUGCUAUAGAAGAAGGAAUGGAACUGUGAAUGGUGGGAAAGGCUGAAGGAAGUAAUGGAGACCACGAUGCAGAAGUAGGUGCUCUUGCAAAGCAGUCCCGGGACAGAUAAAGGAAGCAAAGGCAGAGAACCCCAACGCCUUGUAACCCCAGCUCAGCCACUAGUUGGCUGUGUGAUCUCAGACAAGCCAAGCUCCAUCUCUGAGAUAUAGCUGCUUCAUUUGCAAAGUAAGAAGGUAGACGUGCAUGAUCAGCUGAAGAUGCUUCCUGCCUCAAUCCAGGACACCUGCGGCUCCAGGUCAGAGAUGCACCUGCUAGUCCUGCCUCUACAGGACCCAACCCAUCAGUUCCUAGCUUGUCCUUCUGGUGAGAAUUGAGCACACUAUACUGUGGACAUAAAGACAAAAACCAGCAAGAAACUGAGCUCGGCUCCCUGGCUCACAUAGACAUGGAACAGAGAUCACAUCUGUGAGUGGAGGAGCCAGACUUUUCAUAUAAGCACAUGUAAAACUUUUGAAGUUGGCUGAUCCAAGAAUAGAUUCAAAUUCUUCAGCCAAGAGUCUAGACCAACUGACUUUUUCCACUUCAUUGCCUAGUUGACCCUUUGGGCCCGGAGCUCACGCACGCAGUUGAAGAUGUCCACCACCCCUUCAUUCUCGGCCAUGUCAAGCAUGGUGUCAAUGGCAAUGAAGCAGCCAGUCCGCCCAGCCCCAGCACUGGAAGAGAGCAAAUGGGUUGACGGAUGGAAGCAAAGAAGGAGAGGAGAGAGAACAGAGGGGAGAUGAAUGACAGGACAGAAACGAGAGUCCUCUGAGCUGUCCCCAAGACAGAGAGUGGUUGGUGGAGCACCACGUUCAAAGGCCGGCAUCUGGCUCCACCUGCAGCUGUUUUCGCAGGAUCGUGAAGCAAGAGUGUCAUGAAACUGGAGCAGCUGACCGUCCGGAGACCCUUGUCAGGGAUCAAGUUUCUUGAUACAUACUUACUUGAUUUCUGGUCACUAGUGGCUUCUUUAGGAGAAUCUCAGACCAAGUAUAAAAUGGUAGGGGAACUCAACGAGACUCUAUGGGCCUUGGCCAGCCCUUUCUAGAUCAGUGCUGGGCUCUGAAACAUCAGUGCUGACCAAGAGGCACGUAAGACAUGUGCCUUACACAUGUGCAGUUUUGGAUGGGAAGGCCGGGCAGCCUGUCAAGGAGGCCCCCUUCCGCUGCGUUUUCACAUCUUGCCUUUCUCAUGGAAACAAGUGUCUUUGUCUAACAAUGUAGAUGUCAAAAGACACACAAAGAGGAAGAGAGAUGGAACAAGACAAAAAAGCAAUAUUGGCUCAUGGUAAAUCCAAGGGGCACAGGCCAGUGCGGACCACUACCUACAACAAUUUGGAAAGUACACCCAUUGGAAGCAGAGUCUUCAUUCAUGAGAAACUUUCAUGGUUUGAAUGAAGUCUGACUUAAGUUUGCUUCAGAACCUACUCCCCAAAAUCCAGAUGCGGGGACUCAAGAGACUUGGCCUCUGUGUCUGGGAGGGAGUAUAGGGGGGGUCACUCGUGUUUUUUUCUUCAAUGUUCAUAUUCACCAUGCUUUAGUAUAAAGAAUCAGCCCAAUUUGGUUCCAAAUUUUGGAACAACUAUCAAUCAAUCAGCGGUGACCAAGUUGCCUAGUGUCCGUUUGUUUGUUAGCUUCAGAUUUCUGAUGCUUUUAACAUACCUCCCUGCAGGGUCCUUGUGAGGACAAAGCUGUGUUUAUUUCAUUUCAGCAUCACAUAGUAAUUGAACACAGGAUAUUUGAAAAGACCCCCUAGGAUUAAAUCCUGGCUCUAUUACUUAUUAGCUGCAUGACCUCGGGCAAAUGACUUAACCUCUCUGGGUUUCAAUACUCAUCUAUAAAAUGAUGUUGAUAAUAAUUAAAAUACUCACUCAUCUAUAAAAUGAUGUUGAUAAUAAUUAAUAGAUCCACCUCACAGCAUUAAUAGCACAAUAUGUAUAAAUUGGAUGAAA